This 327-nucleotide long non-coding RNA is filed under the name Capsella rubella. Its description in RNAcentral is "long non-coding RNA (CRUB_LNC002854)". The record is from RNAcentral. Lineage: Eukaryota; Viridiplantae; Streptophyta; Magnoliopsida; Brassicales; Brassicaceae.
CAGGAUUGUGAAACUGAAUGAUACGGACAAGAAUCUAGAAAACUGAGCUAUAUUGCCGUCCUAAAUUGAUUACAAGUAAAGGCCGGGAAGGUCGAGCUAGACUGUUAGACUUACAAUCAUAAUUCAUGUCCAACCGAGAUUGAAGUCGAUUGUAUAUUCUCUAUUGAUAUAUACCUUUUUUUUUUUUUGUUCUUUUUUUUUUCAUAUAAAAAAUGUAAUACGAAGAUUAUUCAAGAUGUUAUCUAUCCAACUACUACUCAUAUUUAAAAAUUAAUUAAAGAUCGGAGAUUUGCCACAUACUUAUAUAUUCUCUUUGUUUUCGAAUAG